Molecule: ribosomal RNA, 455 nt
Filed under: uncultured Leptolinea sp.
Lineage: Bacteria; Bacillati; Chloroflexota; Anaerolineae; Anaerolineales; Anaerolineaceae
Description: bacterial SSU rRNA
Rfam family: Bacterial small subunit ribosomal RNA
Source: RNAcentral
ACGGGCCCCGCACAAGCAGCGGAGCGUGUGGUUUAAUUCGAUGCUACACGAAGAACCUUACCAGGGUUUGACAUGCAAGUGGUAGGAAACCGAAAGGUGACCGACCCUUCGGGGAGCUUGCACAGGUGCUGCAUGGCUGUCGUCAGCUCGUGUCGUGAGAUGUUCGGUUAAGUCCGCUAACGAGCGCAACCCUCGCUGUGUGUUAUAUGUGUCACACGGGACUGCCGGUCUUAAGCCGGAGGAAGGUGGGGAUGAUGUCAAGUCAGCAUGGCCUUUAUAUCCUGGGCUACACACACGCUACAAUGGCCAGCACAGUAGGUUGCUAAGCCGCGAGGUGGAGCCAAUCCAUAAAGCUGGUCUCAGUUCAGAUUGCAGGCUGCAACCCGCCUGCAUGAAGAUGGAGUUGCUAGUAACCGCAGGUCAGCUAUACUGCGGUGAAUACGUUCCCGGGGCUU